Molecule: non-coding RNA, 217 nt
Filed under: Paenibacillus sp.
Lineage: Bacteria; Bacillati; Bacillota; Bacilli; Caryophanales; Paenibacillaceae
Description: T-box sequence
Rfam family: T-box leader
About the family: Uncharged tRNA acts as the effector for transcription antitermination of genes in the T-box leader family.
Source: RNAcentral
GUAAACGUAAUGAAGGGAAUAGUAGGAAAGCCCCUGCACGCUCAGAGAGUAAAUUCCACCGGCUGCGAGAAUUUACCGUGAAGACUAUCCGAACCCGCCCCCGAACGGCCAGCGAAGAGUUGGACGGCGCUCCCUGCCGUUACGAGGGAACCAAGAUGGAUGACGCAUGUCAUCAAGCAAGGUGGUACCGCGGAAGUUACAGGCUUUCGUCCUUCAU